UACAGAGGGGGCAAGCGUUGUUCGGAAUUACUGGGCGUAAAGGGCGCGUAGGCGGCCUGUUAAGUCGGACGUGAAAUCCCCGGGCUCAACCCGGGAACUGCGUCCGAUACUGGCAGGCUUGAAUCCGGGAGAGGGAUGUGGAAUUCCAGGUGUAGCGGUGAAAUGCGUAGAUAUCGAGAGGAACACCGGUGGCGAAGGCGGCCAACUGGACGAGUACUGACGCUGAGACACGAAAGCGUGGGGAGCAAACAGG
Molecule: ribosomal RNA, 253 nt
Filed under: uncultured bacterium
Lineage: Bacteria
Description: partial 16S ribosomal RNA
Rfam family: Bacterial small subunit ribosomal RNA
Source: RNAcentral